CCUGCACAGGAUGUGGGCACACUCAAGGACAGGAAGGCUUUCUGUUCCCUGAAUAUGCAGGUGUGUGCAAUGUCAAGAGUCAGCUCUUCGUUUUCAGGAUCAUUUCAUAUUGCACACGCAGUGCAGUUUUGCUGGAUGUCAGCAGUUUGAAACUUUCCUCACUGACAAAGUUGUGGUAAACACAACAGUAUAUGGACACCUCUGAUGGACAGUUCCUCACCAGCUCUUUCAAGGGGAAUUAUUUAUGUUCUCUAAACCACAUCCAUGAAGCCUCUUACAAAGAAGGGAAACUUUGAUGAGGGUAUUGCAUAUUGCACUUAAAUGUGGCUGAGGAAGGAGUUGGUUUUUUUCCAUAUACAGAAACAUGAACCAAAUAAUGAGAAGUAAGGCAACUGUUGACGGCUCACCAUUUUCCAGAUUGGAUCAUUCUCUGGAGAUAUUCAAGACCUGUCUGGAUGCCUACCUGUGAAACCUGAUGUAGGGAGCCUGGUUCGGCAGGGGGGUUGAACUACACGAUCUCUGCAGGUCCCUUCCAACAAUUCUGAACAAUUCUACAAUUCUGUAAUUCUGUGGUUCUGUGAUCAUCUUUGCAGGAUAUGGUUUGAACACUCUGUAGAAAUAUCUGUAAAGCAGCUAAGUGCAUUCUGGGCUAGAUAUCUGUGUGUCUAAUUUCCUUGCAAUACAGAAAUAAAGGCUUUACAACAUGCUCCAUUACUGUGGUAUGCUAAAUUUGCUUAUGAAUUUUAAGCAUUUGGCCCAGUGAAUUCCAAUUUAAUUUUAACAGUACCAGCACAGACUACAGGAUGAUCUAAACAAAUUAUGUCCCACCAAAGAAUCCAGGCAAGUUACUCAAUUUUAUAGUAAUUGUGUUAAAAGUUUUCUAUUUUUUUUUUUCUUUUUAAUUAACACCAAAUAUCUUUGCAUCCCAGUAGAGUUCUGUCAUUCUCUGUCUGUUUUUAGGUAUGGAGUCAAUCCUGUCCUCAUGGAAUCAAGUCUUAAAUCACUACAAUGGGAACACGGCUGAUUCUGAUUCAUUGUACCCUGUUCCCUGUGUUACAUCUACUCUGAAUGUCUGCACUUCUCUUGUCAAAAUAAUCUCCAAUGGAAUCACUGCAAGCAUUUUUUCUACCUAUAUAUUGUCAUAUACUACUUGCCAGUUUUUCUUCUUUUUUUGUUUUGAUGGAAUACACAAAGAUCAGAACAUAACAGAAGGUGCUGAACAGUAUUUGUCCUUUUAUUCCUACACUGCUCAAAUAUUGUUUCACUAAAACUGGAACUUUUCACUCAUGGGAAAGAUUGAUCAAGAUCAGAGAGUACAUACUGAUAUGACUACAGGUAUUGUCAGUUUCAUGAGUGUAUGAAUUUUAAUUGUGCAUUUUGACAAAUGCAAAUUAAAGAACCUGCUUUUCUCUAUUGACUGUCCUUAGGUUAUUAAGUGGAAAUAAUUGAAUCAUAGAAUCACAGAAUGGCCUGGGUUGAAAAGGACCACAGUGAUCAUCGAGUUUCAACCCCGGCUAUGUGCAGGGUCACCAACCACUAGACCAGGCUGCCUAGAGCCACAUCUGGCCUGUACUUGAAUGCCUCCAGGGAUGGGGCAUCCACAGUCUCCUUGGGGCUCAGCUCUGUCCCUAUCAGAAAAAUGAUGCUUUCAGAAUUUUUACAUUAUUUAUGAGAUAGAGUAUUUUUUCUUUGUUUGUUUCUGUGUUUUUGUUUUUGUUCAAUACUAAUAAGGGCUGUGGCUUUAGGAAAACAUAGUUUCUCUGACACUGCCAUGUGAUCAGAUGGCUUACACUGAGCUAAAUAAAUGGUCUUGAAAAUACAUAUUGUUUGAAAUAAAGGACCUUAUUUUCAAGUACUAUGAAGCACAUGGACAUCUCAUAGAAAAAGAACUAUUAGCUGACGCACUGAGAACAGCUUUAAUCCACUCUCCCUAUGAGCUCUUAUGAGCUCAUGGUUCAAAGGACACUUUCAUGUUUUUAUAUUAAGCGCUUAGAAUUCUUUGUGAGCAAAAACUUUUAUAAGGAUUUUCAGCUUUUAAAAAGAGUCUUUCCAAGAUUUCUGUGAGAUUGCUCAAGCAACAUAUCCAGUCCUCAGAACAAUCCCACAAAAUGAAUAAACUUUGACAUACAAGUGCCUAUCACAUCUUGAAAGCGUUUAGCUUUUGAGAACAUUUUGUAGAAGAGUUUUUUGUUACAUGGAUCUUUCAUCCAUUUUCCCAUCCUCAUCCAGCAGCCAAAAUUAUUAUCAGAGAAACCUGUGCAGACCUCACAAAAUAAAAAUGGAGGUGUUACAGAAGGUGAAAGUUCAGUUCUUCAUGUUUAAGUCAGCAAGAGCACUGAGUUCAAGAGAAAGAUUUACUGAAAUCUUCAGUUAGGAGUAAAGGAAGAAAACCUUAUAGGGCCCGCGAAGCUUGUAUUUCCAAACAAGUGUUAAUAAAUCACAGUUCAUCUCAUUUAAAAUCUGUAUAAAAUAAUUUAGAUAAAAUGCACUUAACAGACAUCAAAGUUCUACCUACUUGCAAUAGAUAACCUGAGGCAGAAGUGUCCAAUAUAAGUAGGGUAGUUUCAGCCUUGUAAAAAUCAUGAAAAUACUUUGCAAAGUUGUUUUGAAAAUGUCUUUUGGCAACCCUGAUGACUCCAGGUAUAUACUGAUGGGAUCACAUUAAUGUCUUUGGCUACCUGAGCUUAUCAUUCCUCACAUUAAUAUUAAUGUAAUCAUUUUGGACUUCUUAAUAGACUUCACAGAGUCUUCACGGUUUGUCUUCACAGAGUCACAGUGUUAUUUAUGUAAGAUCUUUUCCAGAGUCUCAGUUUAGUAAAGAUUGGGACUUACAGUGGUAAGGUCACUGUAAUACUGAGGACAAAAGAGAAACACCUCUGGGAAAAUGUCUGGUGUCUUAUGCUGAAUAAUUUCUCUUAUUGUAUAAAUUUCUUAUGCUUUAUAUUUUCAUACUUGUUUAUACUGUGUGGCUCCUGCUCUCAUUAAAAAAAAAAUAUAUAUAUAUAAAAAUAAAUGCUGUAACAUAUCAAUAUUAUUAUCUGCCCUUCUAUAAAUAAAACAGCC
Long non-coding RNA from Gallus gallus (chicken), 3063 nucleotides. NCBI's taxonomy places the organism in Eukaryota, Metazoa, Chordata, Aves, Galliformes, Phasianidae. The record is from Ensembl.